RNAcentral lists this small nucleolar RNA (105 nucleotides) under Exophiala xenobiotica. Its description in RNAcentral is "A. fumigatus snoRNA Afu_514". It matches the Rfam family "A. fumigatus snoRNA Afu_514". Lineage: Eukaryota; Fungi; Ascomycota; Eurotiomycetes; Chaetothyriales; Herpotrichiellaceae. The record is from Rfam by way of RNAcentral.
UUUCAUGAUGUUAUAAUUUGCGAUUGAAUUCGGCGCUGGAGACUCUCGCCGGAGUCUCUCAACAGCGGUGAAGAUAUGAUAUUUAACUUCUUACAUAUGCUGAAU